This 73-nucleotide small RNA is filed under the name Escherichia coli. Its description in RNAcentral is "isrK". It matches the Rfam family "isrK Hfq binding RNA". The record is from RNAcentral. Lineage: Bacteria; Pseudomonadati; Pseudomonadota; Gammaproteobacteria; Enterobacterales; Enterobacteriaceae.
GCCGUAGCAAAAUCUACGGUCGGGAUUGGAACCCCGUAGACACAAUGGCGCAUACCGCGUUAGCGGUUUUUUU